This 448-nucleotide ribosomal RNA is filed under the name uncultured bacterium. RNAcentral's name for it is "bacterial SSU rRNA". It matches the Rfam family "Bacterial small subunit ribosomal RNA", at positions 328 to 793 of the family's 1533-position model. The record is from RNAcentral.
GCGCCAGACUCCUACGGGAGGCAGCAGUGGGGAAUAUUGCACAAUGGGGGAAACCCUGAUGCAGCGACGCCGCGUGAAGGAAGAAGUAUUUCGGUAUGUAAACUUCUAUCAGCAGGGAAGAAAAUGACGGUACCUGACUAAGAAGCCCCGGCUAACUACGUGCCAGCAGCCGCGGUAAUACGUAGGGGGCAAGCGUUAUCCGGAUUUACUGGGUGUAAAGGGAGCGUAGGCGGCGAUGCAAGUCAGAAGUGAAAGCCCGGGGCUCAACGCCGGGACUGCUCUGGAAACUGCGGCGCUGGAGUACGGGAGGGGCAGGCGGAAUUCCUGGUGUAGCGGUGAAAUGCGUAGAUAUCAGGAGGAACACCGGCGGCGAAGGCGGCCUGCUGGACCGUGACUGACGUUGAGGCUCGAGAGCGUGGGGAGCAAACAGGAUUAGAUACCCGCGUAG